GAUGAAGAACGUAGCGAAAUGCGAUAAGUAAUGUGAAUUGCAGAAUUCAGUGAAUCAUCGAAUCUUUGAACGCACCUUGCACCCUUUGGCAUUCCGAAGGGUAUGCUCGUUUGAGUGUCAUUGUACUCUCACACUUCCAAUCUUUGGAUUGGGAGCAGUGGACUUGGGUGUUGCUGCUUACUGUGGCUCACCUCAAAUCGAUUCGUGCACCUCUUGGUUGGACAUAGUACGGCGUGAUAAGUGUCUUCGCCGGCACCUCAGUAGAGGGUGGCUGAUCAGGAGCUCUGUGCUUAAAACCGUCCUCGGACAAAAACUGACAACUUGACCUCAAAUCGAGUAGGACUACCCGCUGAACUUAAGCAUAUCAAUAAGCGGAGGA
This 379-nucleotide unclassified non-coding RNA is filed under the name soil metagenome. RNAcentral's name for it is "partial contains 5.8S ribosomal RNA, internal transcribed spacer 2, and large subunit ribosomal RNA". The stretch from base 1 to 120 matches the Rfam family "5.8S ribosomal RNA", at positions 35 to 154 of the family's 154-position model. The record is from RNAcentral.